This 118-nucleotide ribosomal RNA is filed under the name Heterocephalus glaber (naked mole-rat). Lineage: Eukaryota; Metazoa; Chordata; Mammalia; Rodentia; Bathyergidae. The record is from RNAcentral.
GUCUGUGACCAAACCACCCUGAAUGCACCCAGUCUCUUCUGAUUUGGGAAGCUAAGCAGGGUCGGGCCUGGUUAGUACUUGAAUGGGAGACAUAAUAUUAAGUUAAAUAAAUCAGACA